Molecule: ribosomal RNA, 200 nt
Filed under: uncultured Glomus
Lineage: Eukaryota; Fungi; Glomeromycota; Glomeromycetes; Glomerales; Glomeraceae
Description: partial small subunit ribosomal RNA
Rfam family: Eukaryotic small subunit ribosomal RNA
Source: RNAcentral
CCAAUAGCGUAUAUUAAAGUUGUUGCAGUUAAAAAGCUCGUAGUUGAAUUUCGGGGUUAGUAGGUUGGUCAUGCCUCCGGUAUGUACUGAUCUCACUGAUUCCUCCUUCCUUAUGAACCGUAAUGCCAUUAAUUUGGUGUUGCGGGGAAUUUGGACUGUUACUUUGAAAAAAUUAGAGUGUUUAAAGCAAGCUAACGCUU